Molecule: ribosomal RNA, 468 nt
Filed under: uncultured bacterium
Lineage: Bacteria
Description: partial 16S ribosomal RNA
Rfam family: Bacterial small subunit ribosomal RNA
Source: RNAcentral
GACGAACGCUGGCGGCGUGCUUAACACAUGCAAGUCGAACGGAAAGGCCCUGCUUUUGUGGGGUGCUCGAGUGGCGAACGGGUGAGUAACACGUGAGUAACCUGCCCUUGACUUUGGGAUAACUUCAGGAAACUGGGGCUAAUACCGGAUAGGAGCUCCUGCUGCAUGGUGGGGGUUGGAAAGUUUCGGCGGUUGGGGAUGGACUCGCGGCUUAUCAGCUUGUUGGUGGGGUAGUGGCUUACCAAGGCUUUGACGGGUAGCCGGCCUGAGAGGGUGACCGGCCACAUUGGGACUGAGAUACGGCCCAGACUCCUCCGGGAGGCAGCAGUGGGGAAUAUUGCACAAUGGGCGGAAGCCUGAUGCAGCAACGCCGCGUGCGGGAUGACGGCCUUCGGGUUGUAAACCGCUUUCGCCUGUGACGAAGCGUGAGUGAGGGUAAUGGGUAAAGAAGCACCGGCUAACUACGUG